This 405-nucleotide ribosomal RNA is filed under the name uncultured prokaryote. RNAcentral describes it as "bacterial SSU rRNA". It matches the Rfam family "Bacterial small subunit ribosomal RNA", at positions 355 to 774 of the family's 1533-position model. The record is from RNAcentral.
UGGGGAAUAUUGGGCAAUAGGCGCAAGCCUGACCCAGCAACGCCGCGUGAGGGAAGAAUGUCUUCGGAUUGUAAACCUCUGUCCUUGGGGAAGAAAAAAAUGACGGUACCCAAGGAGGAAGCUCCGGCUAACUACGUGCCAGCAGCCGCGGUAAUACGUAGGGAGCAAGCGUUGUCCGGAAUUACUGGGCGUAAAGGGUGCGUAGGUGGCCAUGCAAGUCAGAUGUGAAAUCCCGGGGCUUAACUCGGGUGCUGCAUUUGAAACUGCGUGGCUUGAGUGCAGGAGAGGAAAGCGGAAUUCCUAGUGUAGCGGUGAAAUGCGUAGAUAUUAGGAGGAACACCAGUGGCGAAGGCGGCUUUCUGGACUGUAACUGACACUGAGGCGCGAAAGCGUGGGGAGCAAACA